RNAcentral lists this ribosomal RNA (616 nucleotides) under uncultured Legionella sp. RNAcentral's name for it is "bacterial SSU rRNA". It matches the Rfam family "Bacterial small subunit ribosomal RNA", at positions 242 to 849 of the family's 1533-position model. Lineage: Bacteria; Pseudomonadati; Pseudomonadota; Gammaproteobacteria; Legionellales; Legionellaceae. The record is from RNAcentral.
UAGCUAGUUGGUGGGGUAAGGGCCUACCAAGGCGACGAUCGGUAGCUGGUCUGAGAGGAUGGCCAGCCACACUGGAACUGAGACACGGUCCAGACUCCUACGGGAGGCAGCAGUGGGGAAUAUUGGACAAUGGGGGCAACCCUGAUCCAGCAAUGCCGCGUGUGUGAAGAAGGCCUGAGGGUUGUAAAGCACUUUCAGUGGGGAGGAGGUUGGUUUGGUUAAGAGCUGAAUUAAUGGACGUUACCCACAGAAGAAGCACCGGCUAACUCCGUGCCAGCAGCCGCGGUAAUACGGAGGGUGCGAGCGUUAAUCGGAAUUACUGGGCGUAAAGAGUGCGUAGGUGGUUAGAUAAGUUAUCUGUGAAAUCCCUGGGCUUAACCUGGGCAGGUCAGAUAAUACUGUUUGACUCGAGUAUGGGAGAGGGUAGUGGAAUUUCCGGUGUAGCGGUGAAAUGCGUAGAGAUCGGAAGGAACACCAGUGGCGAAGGCGGCUACCUGGCCUAAUACUGACACUGAGGCACGAAAGCGUGGGGAGCAAACAGGAUUAGAUACCCUGGUAGUCCACGCCGUAAACGAUGUCAACUAGCUGUUGGUUAUAUAAAAAUAAUUAGUGGCGC